UACGGGGGGAACGCGAAGAACCUUACCUACUCUUGACAUCCACGGAAUUCGCCAGAGAUGGCUUAGUGCCUUCGGGAACCGUGAGACAGGUGCUGCAUGGCUGUCGUCAGCUCGUGUUGUGAAAUGUUGGGUUAAGUCCCGCAACGAGCGCAACCCUUAUCCUUUGUUGCCAGCACGUAAUGGUGGGAACUCAAAGGAGACUGCCGGUGAUAAACCGGAGGAAGGUGGGGAUGACGUCAAGUCAUCAUGGCCCUUACGAGUAGGGCUACACACGUGCUACAAUGGCAUAUACAAAGAGAAGCGAACUCGCGAGAGCAAGCGGACCUCAUAAAGUAUGUCGUAGUCCGGAUUGGAGUCUGCAACUCGACUCCAUGAAGUCGGAAUCGCUAGUAAUCGUAGAUCAGAUCCAAUACCCC
This 416-nucleotide ribosomal RNA is filed under the name uncultured bacterium. RNAcentral describes it as "bacterial SSU rRNA". It matches the Rfam family "Bacterial small subunit ribosomal RNA", at positions 950 to 1360 of the family's 1533-position model. The record is from RNAcentral.